GGGUUUGUAGCUCAAUUGGUAGAGCUCCGAGCUUUUAAUUCGUAGGUUAGGGGUUCAAGUCCCCUCGAACCCA
This 73-nucleotide transfer RNA is filed under the name Hariotina sp. MMOGRB0030F. RNAcentral's name for it is "tRNA-Lys". It matches the Rfam family "tRNA". From Rfam's summary of the family: Transfer RNA (tRNA) molecules are approximately 80 nucleotides in length. Their secondary structure includes four short double-helical elements and three loops (D, anti-codon, and T loops). The record is from RNAcentral. Lineage: Eukaryota; Viridiplantae; Chlorophyta; Chlorophyceae; Sphaeropleales; Scenedesmaceae.